Molecule: long non-coding RNA, 395 nt
Organism: Amphiprion ocellaris (clown anemonefish)
Lineage: Eukaryota; Metazoa; Chordata; Actinopteri; Pomacentridae
Source: Ensembl
AUGUUCAGAGGGAGAUGAUGCCACAUCUGGUCCAGCUGAUGGAAGGUCUUGAAGUUCUCUGACUGGCCUCGACUGAAGAUGGUCCUCUCACUAUGUUUAAGAUGGACAAAGAGGGACAUCUGCAGAGACUGAGAAAGAGUCUCACCUCAUCCUGACAUGAGGAAAAAGACUUUAUUGAAGACUACAAUGAGAAAAACUAUCAGACAGCAGACGGCUGCAUUCAAGUCUGUAGCUGCUGAAUUCAUGGAUGAAUCAUCUGGCACUAGAGAGGAAGACCAUCAAACAUCCACAUCAGCUGAUGGAGAUCCAAGAGUCUCACCGAACAAACAACCUACAGAGUGAAGACCUCAAAUCUGAUUGGACGGCCUCCUAUUCAGCCACGUGUCUCAACAAAU